UUGGAGAUUUGAUCCUGGCUCAGGACGAACGCUGGCGGCGUGCUUAACACAUGCAAGUCGAACGAUGAACCACUUCGGUGGGGAUUAGUGGCGAACGGGUGAGUAACACGUGGGCAAUCUGCCCUGCACUCUGGGACAAGCCCUGGAAACGGGGUCUAAUACCGGAUACUGAUCCUCGCAGGCAUCUGCGAGGUUCGAAAGCUCCGGCGGUGCAGGAUGAGCCCGCGGCCUAUCAGCUAGUUGGUGAGGUAACGGCUCACCAAGGCGACGACGGGUAGCCGGCCUGAGAGGGCGACCGGCCACACUGGGACUGAGACACGGCCCAGACUCCUACGGGAGGCAGCAGUGGGGAAUAUUGCACAAUGGGCGAAAGCCUGAUGCAGCGACGCCGCGUGAGGAUGACGGCCUUCGGGUUGUAAACCUCUUUCACGGGAGAAGCGAAAGGCGGUACGCGAAAAACGCGGUCAUAC
RNAcentral lists this ribosomal RNA (470 nucleotides) under Streptomyces sp. RNAcentral's name for it is "bacterial SSU rRNA". It matches the Rfam family "Bacterial small subunit ribosomal RNA", at positions 1 to 475 of the family's 1533-position model. Lineage: Bacteria; Bacillati; Actinomycetota; Actinomycetes; Kitasatosporales; Streptomycetaceae. The record is from RNAcentral.